UACGUAGGGUGCAAGCGUUGUCCGGAAUUAUUGGGCGUAAAGAGCUCGUAGGCGGUUUGUCGCGUCGAAUGUGAAAACCCGGGGCUCAACUCCGGGCCUGCAUUCGAUACGGGCAGACUAGAGUUCGGUAGGGGGGACUGGAAUUCCUGGUGUAGCGGUGAAAUGCGCAGAUAUCAGGAGGAACACCGGUGGCGAAGGCGGGUCUCUGGGCCGAUACUGACGCUGAGGAGCGAAAGCGUGGGGAGCGAACAGG
This 253-nucleotide ribosomal RNA is filed under the name uncultured bacterium. Its description in RNAcentral is "partial 16S ribosomal RNA". It matches the Rfam family "Bacterial small subunit ribosomal RNA", at positions 524 to 776 of the family's 1533-position model. The record is from RNAcentral.